CGUUUGACCUCGGAUCAGGUAGGGAUACCCGCUGAACUUAAGCAUAUCAAUAAGCGGAGGAAAAGAAACCAACAGGGAUUGCCCUAGUAACGGCGAGUGAAGCGGCAACAGCUCAAAUUUGAAAUCUGGCUCUUUCAGAGUCCGAGUUGUAAUUUGCAGAGGGCGCUUUGGCUUUGGCAGCGGUCCAAGUUCCUUGGAACAGGACGUCACAGAGGGUGAGAAUCCCGUACGUGGUCGCUAGCUAUUGCCGUGUAAAGCCCCUUCGACGAGUCGAGUUGUUUGGGAAUGCAGCUCUAAAUGGGAGGUAAAUUUCUUCUAAAGCUAAAUAUUGGCCAGAGACCGAUAGCGCACAAGUAGAGUGAUCGAAAGAUGAAAAGCACUUUGGAAAGAGAGUCAAACAGCACGUGAAAUUGUUGAAAGGGAAGCGCUUGCAGCCAGACUUGCUUGCAGUUGCUCAUCCGGGCUUUUGCCCGGUGCACUCUUCUGCAGGCAGGCCAGCAUCAGUUUGGGCGGUGGGAUAAAGGUCUCUGUCACGUACCUUCCUUCGGGUUGGCCUUAUAGGGGAGACGCCAUACCACCAGCCUGGACUGAGGUCCGCGCAUCUGCUAGGAUGCUGGCGUAAUGGCUGUAAGCGGCCCGUCUUGAAACACGGACCAAGGAGUCUAACAUCUAUGCGAGUGUUUGGGUGUCAAGCCCGAGCGCGUAAUGAAAGUGAACGGAGGUGGGAACCCGCAAGGGUGCACCAUCGACCGAUCCUGAAGUUUACGGAAGGAUUUGAGUAAGAGCAUGGCUGUUGGGACCCGAAAGAUGGUGAACUAUGCUUGAAUAGGGUGAAGCCAGAGGAAACUCUGGUGGA
RNAcentral lists this ribosomal RNA (856 nucleotides) under uncultured zygomycete. RNAcentral describes it as "eukaryotic LSU rRNA". It matches the Rfam family "Eukaryotic large subunit ribosomal RNA", at positions 1 to 871 of the family's 3401-position model. Lineage: Eukaryota; Fungi. The record is from RNAcentral.